Molecule: long non-coding RNA, 278 nt
Organism: Humulus lupulus (European hop)
Lineage: Eukaryota; Viridiplantae; Streptophyta; Magnoliopsida; Rosales; Cannabaceae
Exons: 3
Source: RefSeq, a predicted model, not a curated record
AGGUGAAGCUGCAAAAACAUAAUACUGAAGCACAUGGGAUCAAGUACAAGAAUAGUUUGCAUUGUACUGCUAGGAUACUAAGGACUGAAGGAAUUAGAGGACUUUAUAGAGGUGCUACAUCAUCUUUUGUGGGGAUGUCUUUUGAGAGUUCCCUCGUUUUUGGCAUUUAUUCCCAGACGAAACAGUUUCUGCAGGAAGCUUUUUUGUGAAAUUUGCAACAACUAUUGAAGCCGACAAGGCCAUUGCAGCUCUAAACAAUCAACAUUUUUUUCCUGGGG